GAUGAACGCUGGCGGCGUGCCUAAUACAUGCAAGUCGAGCGAACAGACGAGGAGCUUGCUCCUCUGACGUUAGCGGCGGACGGGUGAGUAACACGUGGAGAACCUACCUAUAAGACUGGGAUAACUUCGAGAAACCGGAGCUAAUACCGGAGAAUAUAUUGAACCGCAUGGUUCAAUAGUGAAAGAAGGUUUUGCUGUCACUUAUAGAUGGAUCCGCGCCGCAUUAGCUAGUUGGUAAGGUAACGGCUUACCAAGGCGACGAUGCGUAGCCGACCUGAGAGGGUGAUCGGCCACACUGCAACUGAGACACGGUCCAGACUCCUACGGGAGGCAGCAGUAGGGAAUAUUACGCAAUGGGCGGAAGCAUGCCGGAGCAACGCCGCGUGAGUGAUGAAGGUCUUCGGAUCGUAAAACUCUGCUAUUAGGGAAGAACCAGUGUGUAAGUAACUAUGCACGUCUUGACGGUACCUAAUCAGAAAGCCCCGGCUAACUACGUG
This 497-nucleotide ribosomal RNA is filed under the name uncultured bacterium. RNAcentral describes it as "partial 16S ribosomal RNA". It matches the Rfam family "Bacterial small subunit ribosomal RNA", at positions 28 to 507 of the family's 1533-position model. The record is from RNAcentral.